UACGAAGGGUGCGAGCGUUAUUCGGAAUUAUUGGGCGUAAAGGGUGUGUAGGUGGUAAUCUAAGUCAGUUGUUAAAUACUCCGGCCUAACCGGAGACAUGCGGCAGAUACUGGUUUACUAGAGGGAGAAAGAGAGAAGUGGAAUUCUCGGAGUAGCGGUAAAAUGCGUGGAUCUCGAGAGGAACACCAAUGGCGAAGGCAGCUUCUUGGUUCUUUCCUGACACUGAAACACGAAAGCGUGGGGAGCAAACAGG
RNAcentral lists this ribosomal RNA (253 nucleotides) under uncultured bacterium. Its description in RNAcentral is "partial 16S ribosomal RNA". It matches the Rfam family "Bacterial small subunit ribosomal RNA", at positions 524 to 776 of the family's 1533-position model. The record is from RNAcentral.